Molecule: ribosomal RNA, 2558 nt
Filed under: Triticum aestivum (bread wheat)
Lineage: Eukaryota; Viridiplantae; Streptophyta; Magnoliopsida; Poales; Poaceae
Description: partial small subunit ribosomal RNA
Source: RNAcentral
UUUGUCAAAUUCUUUCUCUGCCGCCCGCUGCUCGGCUUGCCCAGCGGCCGUGAGGAGCGACAGAAUUGGUAGGUAGGUAGGUAGGCAGGCAGUAGCGGCGGCUGCUACGCCGUCAGUUAACGGGGUGCUUGUGAAGGCGGUGUCUAUGCCGACAGCAGCCCCGCGGGGCGAAGUUUUGGGUCUACUGGGGCGCCUGUUCAGUGCUGCUCGGGCGUGUCUUGCCGUUACCGCAGGAGGAGGAGGGGCCGCCGAGGCAACGAGGGUGGAACAGUUCUACUCGUCCUAUUCCUCCUGCGUCCACGAGCCUCGCUGCCGCCCUCAGUCGCCCUCGUCCCCCACUACGCCUCGACCCGCCUCCGCCGCGACGACACGACGCCGCGCCUGACGCCGCUGCGCCUCGCCGACACCGCGUCCCACCACGACGCGUUCACCGAGUUGCAGCCGCGGCCCAGGCCGCUGAGGCUGAAGUCGCGGCUGCUCAAGCUCCGGCUCCGGCUCUGGCUGCUGCUCCUCGGGCCGGUGGUUCUCUUCACGACAACGACCCUUGUGUUUGACAAACUACUCCUCUCCUCUAGCGCACCUGAACCACGCCCGUGCUAACCAUUAGUUCACUUCCGACACGGACUGUCUGAAUUUUCCACGUUAAGUCUCUGUGAAGCGCGAGUCAUAUAGCUACAGCGACUUGAGUCCUAAAAGCAUCCCUGUACCUUACAACCUCCGUCUCAAGGUGGAUGACUGAAUCUGUAAGUUCUUACCGACCGCUACCUCCUCGGUCGACUAUAAAUACAAGAGCCUAAAGUUCUUUAACAGGGUGAUUUACGACCCUUAUAUAAGCCACGACUUCUACUGGUAGGUCAACAUCAUACCCUUGUAUAGUAAGCACUUUGAAACUUAUUCUAUACAGGUAUAUUUGGUUUCGUAUUUACACAGUCACUAGGAGGAAGUGGUAGUUUCAAGUUAGGUAGUCUAAUAGAACACUACCUUCUACUAAAAGAAUCACUCCGGCUGUUACCUUCACUCCCCCUUGAAGUAGGUAACUAACCUGUUCUGUAAUUAGGUCAAUGAUUACUAUCACCGCAAACAUUUUGUAUACUUAUGAGGUGGAGACGAAGGUCACUUUCUCAAGUGCUUCCGCUUCUGAAGUCGUUCUACGAAGGUCAUUUAUGAAGAGUAGUGAGGGUGUUGAGUUCAGUAUGCGAAAAAUCUAGAUUAGACUUUCUUGGCUCGUUGGUUCGGCCAGUGAACCUUUCCGGACCUUACUAAACCGGACUUGUUGUUAACCUAUACGUCCAAGUAGAAGAAGUCCUGUCGUGUAGUCAAUGAAGUCACUUCUGAGAUUGUCGAAGACGCAGAAAGUUUAGCUCUGUACUCUUAAGAUUACCAAAAGGUCUUCUAUUAGACCUGGUACUACAAUCAUAGCUAUUAUCUCAGCAACUUUCUUUUUUAAGUUUAAAGCAUGCCUAUUAUUCGUUCGUUUACCACCCUUAUAUAGAAAGCCACACCCAAGUCUCUCCGGAAUCCUCCGUGUAAGUCUUAAACUCUCAUAGUUGACAUCCACAUCCGCGCUACCCAAUGUAGCCAUUGUUCCCUAGUUAUAGUCAGUCGUACAGAUAUAUAGUCUGUGGGAAAACAAAACAUACAACGGUGGACUGUAGACCACUUUUCCUACCUUUAGAUUGUUUCUCUUUACGUCUACAACUUCUUUAGGAAGCUUCUUGCCAUAAAUUGGGUCAAGUAUCUCAGUCGUACGGAUUCCCUUAUGUACUGGUACUGGUAAAGUAUUUAAAGUCUUUCUAAUAUACCAAACCCCUAGAGUUGAUGGCUUAGUUGGAUAGUAUACUUUCUUGUGUACUUGAAUAGAGGUCUUUCCUUACCCUAAAUAACAAACUGUUACUAGUCGAUUUCACCCUUGACUACUUUCCCGCAUGUAAACUGCCAACCUAGCUUCCCCACUAAUCGAAGGGGGGUUGUAUAUUUAUGCUUAAAUUAAGUCUAUUCAUACGCCCGCUGCUCGGUUAUAGACGCUCUUCUUCUGGACGUACCACGCUGGCCUAAGAAAGUAUGCCUUUCCCGUAGUCCAACCUAAGAAUGUCUUCCCACCUCGAAUUAGAAAGCCUAGUGGCGGGCCACAGGCGACAGAUGUACCGGCUCCAACUUCAAAAUACGGUGUCUUUCAAAGUCUUCCGACAUUGUAAGUGGUUACAUCUCCAACUCCUAGUAGACAAUAACCUCUCUACUUUGUGAACAACUUACUUCUUGGUACCUGACACUCUCUUGUACUUCAAGAAUCGAGUAUCCGCGUUACCGGCUUCCCUUUACGGCCAUUAAAGUCUGUUCAAUGGUCUUACAUUUCUUCGUCUAUCCCGACCGUCAAACUACGUAUGAUCCCUAACCCAACACUCACACACAAAGGCUGGUUUAACCAGCAGGGCAUUUACUUUUCUUCUUAUUUUCCAUCGGGCUGAGGAGUCUUCUCCUACUUAACAAGUAUAGAUUGUCCUAGACGUCUCUUUACUCACUACAAGAAGGGGAAAAGAAUAGCUCCAUGACAAGAACGA